Molecule: long non-coding RNA, 2029 nt
Organism: Falco peregrinus (peregrine falcon)
Lineage: Eukaryota; Metazoa; Chordata; Aves; Falconiformes; Falconidae
Exons: 2
Source: RefSeq, a predicted model, not a curated record
GGCGAACCGAAUGCGGUCGUCGUGUCGUGGGAUCACCAGCCCAAUCUGGCGAAUCCGUUGGACGCAGGACAAAGGGGGAGGACUCCUCACACUCUUCUCCUGCUCCAGUGUGGUAUCUCUCCCAUGGGAAACAGUCCUCCGUGAACUUCUCCAAUGUGAGUCCUUCCUAUGGGCUGCAGUUCUUCACAAACUUCUCCAGCAUGGAUCCCUUCCAUGGGGUGCAGUCCUUCAGGAACAGACUGCUUCAGCAUGGGUCCCCCACAAGGUCACAAGUCUUGACAGCAAAUGUGUUUCAGUGUGGGCUCCUCUCUCCACAGGUCCACAGGUCCUGCCAGCAAACCUGCUGUCCAGCCUGGGCUCCUCUCUCCACAGGUCCGGCCAGGAGCCUACUCCAGUAUGAGCUUCCCACGGGUCACAGCCUCCUUAAGACAUCCACCUGCUCCAGUGUGGAGUCCUCCACAGGCUGCAGGUAGUUAUCUGCUCCACUGUUGACCUUCAUGGGCUGCAGUGGGACGGCUUGCCUCACCAUGGCCUUCACCACAGGCUGCAAGGUGAAAGGGAAUCUCUGCACCAGCACCUGGAGCACCUCCUCUCCCUCCUUCUUCACUGACCUUGUUGCCUGCAGAGUUGUUGCUCUCACAUAUUCUCACUCCUCUCUCUUCUGACUGCUGCUGGUGUUGUGCAGGUUUGGGGGGGGGGGGAUUCCCCCUCCUUCUUAAGUAUGUUAUCCCAGAGGUGCUACCACUGUCACUGAUUGGCUCAGCCUUGGCCAGUGGUGGGUCUGUCUUGGAGCUGGCUGACAUUGGCUCUAUUGGAUAUUGGGGAAGCUUCUAGCAGCUCCUCACAGAAGCCACUCCUGUAACCCCCUGCUACCAAAACCUUGCCACACAAACCAGAUACAACCAGUCCCUUAUGGAUUUGCACUUUGCACUGGGGACACACUAUCCAUCCCACUAACCAUGGGGGAAAAAUUGUGUGGCCCUGGAACUCAGCAGCCAGCCUACAAACAGGCCUUCUGAAAAAUGCAAUUUUAGCUGAAUUAGAAGGACCAGCACCUGUUGCCCUGGGUGCCAGACAACCUCCUCCCACAGAAAUGAAUCCCUGGGAGGCAGCUUGUGAGCCUUUAUACUUCUGACCUAUAAUAAAAGGAGCUGAAGGAAUGUUGAAAUCUUUAGCUUUAGCCAUUAAGACAGUCUUAAAUGGUUUUACUUUCCAAGAGGUCCUUUAACGUAUGCUAGUGAAUUUACCACUAACAAGCCAUGGGCAGGGACACCUUCCACUAGACCAGAUGUAUUGGGUCUGGCUGAGCCCCAUAGCAGCCACCAUCCAGGAGUCAGUAUAGAGAUGGAAUACUGGCCACUUCUUGUUCAGCAAUGUCUAGGGCUAGUUGGAUGGUGGCUAAUGCCCUAUGGGGGUGGCUACAACAGUGGAAGAAGACGAAUUGGCAGCACAGGGGUAAACCCAUCUGGGCUGCUGCAUUGUGGCAGGACAUUGCUGCCUGGGUAAAAAACAUGGCUCUAAAGGUAUGUCAAGAUUGUAUUGGGUCUGGCUGAUCCCAGUAGCAGCCCUCAUAGUGCUGUGCUUUGUAUUGGUAGCUAGAAAGGUGGUGAUAACACACCAGUGUUUUGGCUACUGCUGAGCAGUCCUCACACAGCAUCAAGGCUGUCUCCCCAACACCACCACCCUCCCCACCCCCCCAAAGGCCAGUAGGCUGGGGAUGGGCAAGAUCUUGGAAGGGGACAUAGUCAGGACAGCUGACCCAAAGUGACCAAUGAGACAUUCCAUACCAUAUGAUGUCUGCUCAGAUAUAAAAGCCAAGAGAAAGGGAGAGGAAGGUGGUGGUGGAGCAUUUGUUAUUUAUGAUAUUUGUCUUUCAGAGCAACUGCUACCUGUACUGAAGCUUCUUGGGAAGUGUCCAAACAUGGCCUGCUGAUGGGAAGUAGAGAAUAAGAUCUUUUGUUUUCCUUUGCUUCUGCAUGUGCAACUUAUUGCUAUUGCUUCAUUAAACUGCCUUUAUCUUGACUCACAA